Motacilla alba alba is the source of this 891-nucleotide non-coding RNA. The record is from the annotation of a RefSeq genome assembly. Lineage: Eukaryota; Metazoa; Chordata; Aves; Passeriformes; Motacillidae.
CCUGAGGUCUUCUUGUCUUCCCAUCAAUUUCUGCCAUUUUGUGCAUUCCUGUGCACACUUGCAGGCUGCCACAUAGGCCCAUCCUGCUCCUUGACAGCUCUGAACAAUGCCACCUACUGAAGUCCCACCUACUCUUGCACACCCAUGAUCACACAGAGCAGGAAGCCAGAGGAGCAGAGUACAAGCAGCUCAUGACUGCCUGCAGGUGUCAUUCCCCACCGUUCCUGGACAGCCAACAGCCUUUGUGACGUUUCAGACUCCUGCCCACUCCCCUGCCUGCCCACAGAGAGACGGAUCUCUUCCUCUCCACUCUCCUCUUUCCGCACCUCUGAGUGUCUGUGCUGUCACCAGGGGCAGGUGGCUGGAAGAAGAGGGCCUUUCUCCAUGGAUUUCCACCGGUUCCUGGUGGCCAUGCUGCUCCCUGUGGGCUGGGCUCUUCAGCAAUCACCAGAUACAGUUGUCCGGGUGGGAGACACCGUCACUCUGGAAUGUUCUGCAACAGCAAAAAAUUUCAUAUACAUGUACUGGUACAAGUUACCCAUGGAGAAGAAUGCCAGCAUGCAGUUGGUGGUAUAUUCAGUGGAAAGCCGCAAAGCAGACAUUGAGAAGGAAUUCCAAAAUCGCUUCCAGAGUAAUGGGACUAGGAACAACCAUUUAUCUGUGAAGAUACAGCAUGCCCUACUCAAUGACACAGGCACAUAUUUCUGUGCUGAACAAGAUCCACAUGUUAGCCCUGGAACAGUCUCCAGACAUGGUGAUAAAAGAAGGCCAGUCUGUGAAUCUGGAAUGUUCCAAGAAGAAAUCCUCCAGCUCAGCUAUGUACUGGUACAUGCUGCCUUCAGAGAAGAAUUCCAGUCUGACCCAGUUGGUUUAUGCAUACGAAGGUGUUAA